GCCGACUUAGCUCAGUGGUAGAGCGCGUGGCUUUUAACCACGUGGUCGUGGGUUUGAUCCCCACAAUCGGCG
RNAcentral lists this transfer RNA (72 nucleotides) under Medicago truncatula (barrel medic). Its description in RNAcentral is "tRNA-Lys (TTT) (tRNA-Lys-TTT-9-1)". It matches the Rfam family "tRNA". From Rfam's summary of the family: Transfer RNA (tRNA) molecules are approximately 80 nucleotides in length. Their secondary structure includes four short double-helical elements and three loops (D, anti-codon, and T loops). Lineage: Eukaryota; Viridiplantae; Streptophyta; Magnoliopsida; Fabales; Fabaceae. The record is from Rfam by way of RNAcentral.